Molecule: ribosomal RNA, 359 nt
Filed under: uncultured bacterium
Lineage: Bacteria
Description: bacterial SSU rRNA
Rfam family: Bacterial small subunit ribosomal RNA
Source: RNAcentral
GGGCCUGCACAAGCGGUGGAGUAUGUGGCUUAAUUCGAUGCAACGCGAAGAACCUUACCUGGCCUUGACAUGUAGUGGCCCCGGGUGCGAAAUCACCCUUUUCUUCGGAACUGCUACACAGGUGCUGCAUGGCUGUCGUCAGCUCGUGUCGUGAGAUGUUGGUUAAGUCCCGCAACGAGCGCAACCCCCGUGUUCUGUUGCCACCCGGAUGAGAAUCCGGAGCACUCUGGACAGACUGCCUGGUUUCAACCAGGAGGAAGGUGGGGAUGACGUCAAGUCAGUAUGGCCCUUACGGCCAGGGCUGCACACGUACUACAAUGCCCGGUACAAUGGGAAGCGAGACCGCGAGGUGGAGCAAA